CUAUACACGUCGCCCGUGUCGGCUGAACCAGCGAUUGACGAAUUUAGACGCCAUAUCUACCGCUAAACCCACUGCCUUUAAACCGCCGGGUUCCAAGCUGUGAGGCGUGCUCGAAGUUUUGCGUCGCGGUUACUCCAGUUCUGACGUCGACUUCUGCAAGCGCGAUUACCGGGCUCGCACGACCCAUUGGUGCUCCUGGAAUGCAUAUGCUACGCCCGGCGGCCAUUUCAUCCCUUCUCACGCAUGAGCUGUCACGCUUGACGCAAACGAUUCCGGUGCUGUCUUAAGUCGCGCCUGCAGUGAAGUUUUCUUUUGUUUGUGUACGCCUGGAUAUUCAACUGACUAUGUCAAUCAACCGGGGGACAACGAAGCAACUGUCGUCGCCACCAGCUAACCUUCAAGAUCUGCAACCUGUACCUCAGCCCCUAGCGCAUGUUCCUGCACCCGACCGUGUCUCGCACAGAUGACGUUCAGUACCUGUCAUCCAGCAGCUGAUCGUGUCUUUACUUCUGUUCCUGCCUCACUGAUAUGUGUCCUGCUGAUUGAAGAUGCCUGCAAUCCCCGCCCUGCAGAACUUCCACUGCACGUAAGUAUAUCAAGUUCGUCCAACCGAUGCUGUGACGGUGUGCUGACGAGUCAUUAACAUGACGACUGUUUCUCCUUUCAGUUCCGCAUCCUUUGGUGCCAGACGCACACGGCGGAUUUUCCUGCACCCGAUCGUGUCUCGUACAGAUCACGUUCAGCACCUGUCGUUCAGCAGCUGAUCGUGUCUUCACUUCUGCUCCUGCCUCACUGCUAUUGGUGUCCUGCUGAAUGAAGAUGCCUGCAAUCCCCGCCCUGCAGAACAUCCACUGCACUCUGCAACCCUUGUCUUGACAUCUGCCGCCCAUCAAGGUCUGUCCCACUAGCGUAGUAGACAAUGACACAACGUGCAGAACAUAGGGAGGCUCUCGCCACUCAUCACAUUGCUGCUCCCGAACACGUCGUGCCGCAGGAAACGUUCUUCGCUGCCUCGACAAUGCCACACAGCUAUGAAAUCCCGAGAAACAACAUAACGUCGCGUGACAUAAAUGCUCAUCCAACAUCCCGGUUGGAGUUGUUCGUUCCACCCUAUGUCAGUGCGACGGCCACUAGAUGAAGUCGCACGCUAUUCAGUGGCUCUGACCGUAUAAUGUGGGUUCCGAGGAAUCCAAGGUAAC
Molecule: long non-coding RNA, 1199 nt
Organism: Dermacentor silvarum
Lineage: Eukaryota; Metazoa; Arthropoda; Arachnida; Ixodida; Ixodidae
Exons: 3
Source: RefSeq, a predicted model, not a curated record